This 621-nucleotide unclassified non-coding RNA is filed under the name Athalia rosae (coleseed sawfly). RNAcentral describes it as "misc RNA ENSAEAG00005004976.1". The record is from RNAcentral. Lineage: Eukaryota; Metazoa; Arthropoda; Insecta; Hymenoptera; Athaliidae.
CUGUAACCUCUGGUAGAAAAGUCGGUCGCUCCCAUCGGUACUCUGAUUAGAUUGUACUGUAUCCCAUCCUCGGAGAAAAAGGAUCUAUGCGAAGAUCAAAGAUGAGAAUAACCAACGAUCGAUUUAGGUGGAAAAAAAAUUUUUCAUCUCACUUCAAAAACUCCUCCUGAGCGGAUUCGGACAAGUCUCGAAUGUUCAUCCCCGCCGCGUCAGUUGCUGAGGUACCAAAACCGAUAAUCUCUUGCUACUACUGAAAAACUUGAUAUUCUUACUCACCGGUGGGAUUUUUCUUCGCAAAAUUUCCCUCGGAUAUAAGAAAUCUCUGACCAUUCUUACCGGACGACACCAAAGUGUAUUUCCCUUCUCCACGGGGUUGAAAAACUUGAGGCACGUCGUCGCAGUAUGUGGAAUUGCAGACGCAAUAAACGCUGCUUGACAUCGAAGGGUUCGUUGGUUUUCUUGGAGAACAUCUCCGAGGUUCGCCGAGGGCUGUAAAAUCGAAUUUCUGACGUCAAAUUUCGUCUGUCCCUAUACCAAGGACUCAACGAAUCGCAGAAUAAUUUCGACUAUUCUUGGAAUCUGAACGAGCCAUUUUCAGAGACCGAAUAAAAAAUAGCACGA